RNAcentral lists this long non-coding RNA (224 nucleotides) under Nicotiana benthamiana. Its description in RNAcentral is "long non-coding RNA (NBEN_LNC012464)". The record is from RNAcentral. Lineage: Eukaryota; Viridiplantae; Streptophyta; Magnoliopsida; Solanales; Solanaceae.
CUUCUCUCAAAUAACUUCAUUCUUAAUCUUAUCUAACCUGGUGAGCCCGCACAUCCACCUGAGCAUCCUCAUCUCCGCAACCUUCAUUCUCUGAACAUAAGAGUUCUUCACUGGCCAGUACUCCGCCCCAUACAACAUGGCAGGUCUAACCACAGCUCUGUAAAAUUUCCCUUUGAGUUUCUGUGGAACUUUCUUGUCACACAGGACUCCUGAUGCAAGCCUCN